GAAUUAACGACNGCCCGCUGUUAUGCUACUAACAUGUGGNUANUUGNUUNUUAUGGACUACAACUGGCCGCUCGUUUUACAGCCUAACACAUGCAAGUCGAGACGGCAGCACAAGAUGAAGCUUUACUCUCAUGUGAGGUGGCGAGCUGGCGGACGGGUGAGUAAUGACCUCAGGGAAUCUGCCCAUGUCGAGGGGGAUAACAGGUUUGGAAACGUAUCAUGCUAAUACCGCAUACGCACCUACGGGGUGAAAGAGUGGGUGACUCUUCGGGACCUCUUCGGCGAUUGGAAUGAACCUAAUGUGCGGAUUAGCUAGUUGGUGAGGUAAUAGGCUCACCAANGCGACGAUCCCGUAGCUGUUCUGAGAGGAUGAUCAGCCACACUGGGAACUUGAGACACGGCUCCAGACUCCUACGGGAGGCAGCAGUGGGGAAUAUUGCGACAAUGGGGCGAAACGCCUGAUNCAGCCAUGACCGCGUGUGUGAAGAAGGCCUUCGGGUUUGUAAAGCCACUUUCAGUUAGGGGAGGAAAGUGGUGAUUCUUAAAUUACNGGUCUAUCUGAUGACGUUACCUACAGAAGUAAGGACCGGCUAACUCCGUUGCCAGCAGCCGCGGUAAUACGGAGGGGUCCGAGCGUUACUCGGAAUUACUGGGCGUAAAGCGUGCGCAGGGGGGCUUUAAAGCCACGUUUAAAACCUNGGGUCUCAACNUUGGGAAUAGNCUUUGAAACNUGGGAACACUAAAUUUUGA
This 750-nucleotide ribosomal RNA is filed under the name uncultured bacterium. Its description in RNAcentral is "bacterial SSU rRNA". It matches the Rfam family "Bacterial small subunit ribosomal RNA", at positions 1 to 653 of the family's 1533-position model. The record is from RNAcentral.